Molecule: long non-coding RNA, 571 nt
Organism: Thunnus maccoyii (southern bluefin tuna)
Lineage: Eukaryota; Metazoa; Chordata; Actinopteri; Scombriformes; Scombridae
Exons: 2
Source: RefSeq, a predicted model, not a curated record
GAAGCUGUUUCCUGUUUUUAAAUAGUUACAGAUCAUGAAAUCAUUACAUUCAUUAAACUUCUUUCCACCUUUUUCAUUUUAUCGUAAGAUUUUACUAUCAAUAAGUUUAUCUGUAUCAGGUUAGUGCAUUCAAAGUGCUUUACACUGAGACUGAUUCACAUGAUAAUGAUGCUGAAAAUUCAAUAUAACCAAUAAAAUAGAUUUAAAAUAAAAAUAAAUGGAUAAAAGACAAAAGACAAGGGAAUAAAACAUUUUAAAACAUGGAUACAAUCAAAUAAAUGUUUGAAUAAAAUAAAUAAUGGCCAUAAAACAUCCUAAUAAAGACUAAAGAGCUGCUCAGUCAGACUGUUUAUAUCUAUAAUCUGCCUUUAGAGUCACUUCACAGGAUCAACGCACACAAAUACAUGCAUAGGAUAUACUGUAUAUAUAUAUAAUUAAUAUAUAUCAAUCUUCAUGUUGUGUUAAUGUUCAUAUUAUUGUUAUUUUGUUCUGUCCAAAUAUUUGGACAAAUUGUGUUUUGAUGCUUUGACAACAUUGAAACUUUCCUGCCAAUAAAGUCCAUUGAAUUGAA